Molecule: unclassified non-coding RNA, 219 nt
Filed under: Actinoscirpus grossus
Lineage: Eukaryota; Viridiplantae; Streptophyta; Magnoliopsida; Poales; Cyperaceae
Source: RNAcentral
GCCCAACAACGCUCGAUCGCAUCUCGAGGGAUCGAUGCGGACAUUGGCUCUCCGAGCUGCUAGCGGCGCGGUGGGCCCAAGUGUAAGGCUGUCGGAUGGGGUCGGGAGCGGCGCAGUGGUGGGCUUCUGCGCACGUCGGCUCCCCUGCCUUGUGUCGGCGGAGGGCCCUUCUUCGACCCCCAAAUGAGGAGAAUGUCGUGUCGCGGCAUUCUCCGGAUC